Fukomys damarensis (Damara mole-rat) is the source of this 525-nucleotide long non-coding RNA. RefSeq lists it as uncharacterized. NCBI's taxonomy places the organism in Eukaryota, Metazoa, Chordata, Mammalia, Rodentia, Bathyergidae. The record is from RefSeq and is a predicted model, not a curated record. The transcript is spliced from 3 exons.
UCCUCACAGCAACCAAGGAGGGUGUCUGUCAUCUUCGCUCUUAACCAAGCGGAAAGCGGAAGUCCAGUCUGCGGAAGUGACUUGCCCAGAGUUGCACAGAGGAAAGCAGUGUGUGUUUAGGGGGAGCACCACUGGAAGUCUCCACGGGCAUGGCUUUGGACAAGUGGAGAGAACGUGUUGUGUUGAGAGCAGGUGACCACAGGAAGUGGACAGAAACAGACCUGUGCCGGGAGAAGCCAUGGCGGUCAGGGAUCUAAGGUCAGGAACAUGAAAACCAUGGCAGGCGUGGCUGGAACUGGGUGUCGGCACUGAAGGUCCAGAGCGGGUCAAGGGGACAGGAACAUGGGGAGGAUCACACUGAAGUGGCUGACUGGGUGUCCAGGCUUGGAAGGAAGUAGCCUGAGGACACCUAUGUGUGAGCGGCUUAGGAGGUCUGCUCAUCCAGAGUAACUGGCUGGUAACCACAUGCAGGUAAAACAUCUGUGCACCUCACUAAGCCUGGGACAAAGAGAAAUAUGGUCAACU